GGGGAGUGGAGGGUGAAUGGAAAUCAGAGAGAGAAGGAGCGAUUGAAGGGUGGAGGGGAGGAAUGAUAACUACAGAGGAGGCGAGGGGGGAAGAGGAGGAGGAGAAGAAGAGGAGAGCAGGAUUAUGGAGGUUAUGGUAGUAGGUGCCAAGGGCACCAGGUUUGUGUCAAGAACUGCAACGUCGCAACAGUUUCCUGUGUGUAUCAAGAAUGGUCCACCAACCAAAGGACAUCCAGUCAACUUGACACAACUGUAAGAAGCAUUGGAGUCAUUAAUGGUUCUAAGUUGUGUAUCCCCACAAGGGCCAGUGCGUGGAGACGAUGCAGGAUGCCCUAGUGCCCUUAUGAGUAGAGUGGUUGGGUCGUGACGCCCCAGAGUCUGCAACACCAGUAAGCAAGGGGUACCACCAAGCAAGUGGCACCAUGAAGACCAAGGAGCUCUCCAAACAGGUCUUAAUCUCGUCCCUAAUGCAGGCGGGAAAUGUGGCGGGAGAGUUUGGUGUUACGGCUUUCCGACUUUAAUGACUUGCAGUUGGAGGAGCCCUCUGGAGCAUCGCCACUUUAAGUCAUGAGGAUGGGGGGGAUUUAUCUGACUGUGACUGUCACAUGGGAGCACAUGGGAGCACCAUGCUGGGCCUUACUGUAUGAGUAGAGAGUAGAGUAGGACCGGAGUUAGAAAUUAAAAGAUUUUCUAGAUUAGAAACUGUAUUGUCCAUUAAAGGUAAAAAUAUAAUUACUCAUUAACAAAAUAGUGUGUAGCCCACAUAGCAUUACAGUAAAAUUACACACCAAAAGAGUCAGCGGUAAAGGAACAUACGACAAAUCAGGGUAGUGUUCAACAGUAGUAUUUCAGACAGCCAGAUGAUGCCAUAUUGUCCCUGCCUGCUCUUUGACUAUGCAGUGCAUUCCAGGUGAAAGUUUUCCAUAAACACAGACCUAGGGUCAGUUUACUCUCCCCAGAUCCUAGUCUGAACCAUCUGGAGUAAACAAAGCAAUACUGACCACAGAUCAUGACAUCAUCGUCCCUCUCACAUCAGCCCCUUGGGAGGCACACACACACACACACACUUAAGGUAAAAUCUCCCUCCGUUUUAUUCUGUUACCAAAUGUUGUAUCUGCACCGCUCUUCCUGUAAAUGUAAUUUUGUCAAAUGUUCUGUGGAAAUUGUUAAAAGAGUUGUAUGUUUUGUGAAACUUUGAAAUCAGUGUUUUUUAUUUGGUGUACAUUUAAAGUGAAACAUUUUAGUCCUAGCGUAAUUCUGUCACCAUGGAAUUGCCCAUAUGCUACUGCCCAGUCACAGAAAAACUAGAUUAAAACACUGGCUCUAUGAAAAUCAGCUGUAUGUGAGUGUGCGUCUGUUUUCUUUAUGUGUGUGUGUGUGUCUACAGUUCCCUCCCAGCUUUUAAGACUAACAUUGAAAAAGCAGAUUUUUAAAGGUCACAAUACAGCAGGCUCUCUACACGCUUCUCUCUCCAGCUGGUCCUUUGUGUGUCUGUGUGUGUGUACAGAUUGGUAUAAAUAAGCUC
Molecule: long non-coding RNA, 1525 nt
Organism: Oncorhynchus tshawytscha (Chinook salmon)
Lineage: Eukaryota; Metazoa; Chordata; Actinopteri; Salmoniformes; Salmonidae
Source: Ensembl